Molecule: long non-coding RNA, 449 nt
Organism: Nicotiana attenuata
Lineage: Eukaryota; Viridiplantae; Streptophyta; Magnoliopsida; Solanales; Solanaceae
Exons: 3
Source: RefSeq, a predicted model, not a curated record
UUCAUCUUCCUUAGCCGCCACUCUCCCUCCCCCUUUUCUUAUUUCUUUCAUCCACAGUAGUGGGCGUUACUUUAAAUCUGUGCGAAAGACAAAGAGGAGUAAGAAUGUAUUUCCACUGCUUCUCAUUUACGAACAAAAAAAUUAACUUAUUGGUUUGUCUCUUACCAAGGUGGUCAAGAGAAAUGUGCCUUUGAGAAAUUCCAAUCUCUUCUAAUGCCAAACUUAUAUUGAUUAUGGAAAGUGCUUCAUAUAUUCUUGGAUGCAUGAAGAUCAAGGGUGCGAUGAGGGUGGCCAUAUGGAUCAUCAAGCAAAUACUUAUGUUCAUUUAAUGUGAAAUCAUGUACAUUAUUUCUGAUCUCUCUUACAAUCAAGCCUCACAUUGGCUAGUUCUUUUCUACAAAUUUUAAUUAUUGUAGAAGACUUAUCUAUUGCAGAUGCUAUUAAUUGAU